CAGGAAGUGGUGCAGCUGGCGAUAAAACUCUCUUCAUCGCGUCUACCAGCUCCUGAAUUGGAUCGGGAUUGCUCAUGCUGUUAACUUUAAAGGUCCGGGCUUCUGUUAGGAAACGGACGGACAAACAGGUAUGGAUGAUGAUAUAGAUGCUGACCGAAUACACACACCAGAUGAGUAGGGGAUGGGACAGAACGAUGGAGCACCCACCAGAUGAGUUACGGAGACGACAACGAGGAAACACACACCUCCAACUGGAACACGGGGCAGACUGGACAAACUGGAGACAAAACAGAGAUUAGGUAAAGCAGACUGUAGCCGUUCCACAACUGUGUAAGGCCUGCAGGACAAGUCGGCACAUAGCGGGACUGGCUGUGCAUCACUAGAAGAAAGCCUGUAGAAAGUGUCUCAUUUCUUCCAGGGGGACCUCGAUCACCAUCUGGUCCCGGAGGUCCUGGUAUAGAAAAGGAUAAGAUGGUAUGUCAAUAAGAUGAUGCACAAAUGGCUGGAUGUGAGU
Molecule: long non-coding RNA, 514 nt
Filed under: Danio rerio (zebrafish)
Lineage: Eukaryota; Metazoa; Chordata; Actinopteri; Cypriniformes; Danionidae
Description: si:dkeyp-110b2.2 (ENSDARG00000097433.2)
Source: RNAcentral